Molecule: ribosomal RNA, 478 nt
Filed under: uncultured bacterium
Lineage: Bacteria
Description: partial 16S ribosomal RNA
Rfam family: Bacterial small subunit ribosomal RNA
Source: RNAcentral
GACGAACGCUGGCGGCGUGCUUAACACAUGCAAGUCGAGCGAUGAAGCUCCUUCGGGAGUGGAUUAGCGGCGGACGGGUGAGUAACACGUGGGCAACCUGCCUCAUAGAGAGGAAUAGCCAUCCGAAAGGAUGAUUAAUACCUCAUAAUAUUGUAGCUUCGCAUGGAGCAACAAUCAAAGGGGCACUCCACUAUAAGAUGGGCCCGCGGCGCAUUAGCUAGUUGGUGAGGGAACGGCUAACCAAGGCGACGAUGCGUAGCCGCCCUGGGAGGGUGAUCGGCCACAUUGGGACUGAGACACGGCCCAGACUCCUACGGGAGGCAGCAGUGGGGAAUAUUGCACAAUGGGGGAAACCCUGAUGCAGCAACGCCGCGUGAGUGAUGACGGCCUUCGGGUUGUAAAGCUCUGUCUUCAGGGGCGAUAAUGACGGUACCUGAGGAGGAAGCCACGGCUAACUACGUGCCAGCAGCCGCGGUAA